GGACUUUGCGGGGGCAUGAUAUGUGGAACUGCUCUCCAAACCUUGCUUCUGAUGAUUGUGCUCUACAAAACCAACUGGAAUAAAGAGGUAAAAUCAAUAUUUCAAUUCAUUGCAAAUCAUAAACAAUGUGAGAUUUGAAAAUAUCCACAUCGAAAUGAAACUGCAGGUGGAGCAAGCAACAAAACGAGUGAGGAAGUGGGGUGGUCAAGACGUCACAGCUGAGAAUGGAGCUCAAAGUACCUGAAAUUCUUUGCUCCUUCAAUGUUCAAUGUUCAAACUUUUUGUUUUGGAUGAAUAAAUAUCCUUAAGUACAAGUACAAAAAAGGCAACGAUAUAGUGAGAUUUCUAGCUUUGCCAUUUUCAGAGGCCAAUGCAUAUUCCUCUGUUCAUAAGCUUAACGGUGUCGGCGCCUAUUUUUGGACUUUGGCCAACCAUUACCAUGAUUUGAGUAUGAUAUGAGCCACACUACACCAAGCGACGGUCCUGAUUUUUUUUGCAAUUUCAAUUAUAUUUUCAAUAAAACUUAAAAGCCACAAAAGGUUUUGGUUACUUUUUCAAAAAAGAAAUAGACUUGUG
Molecule: long non-coding RNA, 576 nt
Filed under: Prunus dulcis (almond)
Lineage: Eukaryota; Viridiplantae; Streptophyta; Magnoliopsida; Rosales; Rosaceae
Description: sRNA ncRNA
Source: RNAcentral